Paramuricea clavata is the source of this 3949-nucleotide non-coding RNA. The record is from the annotation of a GenBank genome assembly. Lineage: Eukaryota; Metazoa; Cnidaria; Anthozoa; Malacalcyonacea; Plexauridae.
UUGGAAUUAUAUACCCGCGCAUUAGUGACGAGAAGGCAAAGCGUACAUGCAUUACUGGGAGAAGCGUCUACAGCGACAAAAGGUAUUUUUCAAAUUAAUCUUUUAGUUUGAUUUUCCACUUCAACUGUACCGAAACGUAUACCCAGCACUAGAGUGGAAGCAAUGAGUUUGACAGAAAAAGAAAAUAGUGCGUUACGAUUGAAGCAAGGAACAGGCUUUACAGUGCUAUUCGGUGACCUGCAACCUGCUGAGCACACACCUUUGAAUUUGUCAAAUUUUGUGCUAAAAAUUCGAAUUUCGACCGAGAAAAUGCAAGAAAAAGAAGAUUUUUGCUAACUUUCGAGCUAUCAGCUAUGUCUUUGACUCCGUUUCACCGUGGCUUCGCUAACUGUAUAAACAAAGUUAGUAUUUGCCAAAAAUUUGAACAGAAAGCCAUUUUUGAAACACUUGCUAUAUAAAUUUGACAAAUAAUGAAAAAAUAUUGAAAUAAUGAAAAUUUCAGGUGGCCGCCAAUAACACACGCGAGCGGGUGACGAUAAACCGAUGCCUUAAUUCCAUCGGCCUUUAUUUGGCAACAUUUUUACUAUUUAUGACAUGGACACUUGUUCAAAAGUUAGCCUUUUAACACGUACAUUUAUCAUAGAAAAAAUUGGUAAAGUAUAUACAAAUCUUGUUCGUCUAUAUGCAUGGGUCAACAAAGAAAAUUUGGCAAAGUAAUAUGAGCACUGGCAUACGAAAAACUUGUCAUAAGCGUUUACACGAAACCAAAAAAAUAAAUUUUUUAUCAUACAUGUGUUAAAGAAGGAUGUUCUGCUUCUUUGCGCAUAGGCAGUGAGAAAAAAACUUGAAAUCCAUCGCAUUUAAACGUGAUUUAAGGUGGUCCUAAGUUGAAAACAAUGUAGUUGUGACGUACUGGGAAAGGUCUAUUUCGGAUACAGUGCCUAGUGUUAUCUAAAAAGUAUUCGCAGGGAAAUUGUGAGCAUGGCUCGCAGUCGCCGAUAUUUUCUUCACAUAUAACGUACUCUUUAGGGAUGAAAGAAAUGGGAUGAAAAAUGACAAAAUGUCGGCAGCAUAAUCCGUGGGCUAUGUAUAAAGUACUGUGCUGAGUGGUUAUAUUACUACCUUAAAAACAAGCAGGAACUCGACGUUUCGAGCGAAGGCCCUUCGUCAAGAGUUAGUACCUGCAUGUAGUCCUGCUACUAACUCUUGACGAAGGGCCUUCGCUCGAAACGUCGAGUUUCGAUCUGCUUGUUUUUUAAGGUAGUAAUACAACCACUCAGCACAGAUUUUCACAUUGGUACUACCUACACUGGUACAGACAGUUUUAGAUGUAUAAAGUAUAUACUGUAUUGGAUUUAUGUUAUAUAUGUUUCAAAUGACAGAUAAGGAGGUAUAUGAUAUAAUGAUUUUUAAAGAUUCUUUCAUAUUGCCUUAUAUAGGAACACUUAUAUAUCAUGGAAAACUUGCCCAUCUUCAAUAUGGCAUUUACUGACUGCAAUUCCUAAGGUAUUAGUCCAGUUAUAUCGUGAGACCAGUAAUUAGCUUGCGUAGGUAGCAAUAUCAAGCAGCCAUGCAUGUUUGAAUUAAUAACAUAAAGUGACAUUAUAUGUCCUUUGUCGCAGCGGGUGUCCCUACAAUUACUACGCUGUCAAAAACGUUUCUCCUUUAUUGGAAUAAUUUAUAAGAAAAAAUAAUUUUAUUUUGCAUGUACUGUAUCGUACUGUUUUGUCCAAAAACCAUGAUCAGCCGACAAUUUAAAAAAGUAAAGACUAAAGUAAAUUCCGAAAAGACAAGACAUCUUGAGAAUACAAUAUAUGAUUUAAAAAGAAGAAGAAAAAGUCUCAACCUGCGUCUCUUGUUUUUCAAUCAUAUAUUGUAUUCUCCGAGAUGUCUUUUCGGAAUUUGUUUUUACUGUACUGUUUUGUGGUUUCCAGGUUUAUGUUUUUAAGAAUUAAGCUUUCAAUAUUCUGCUCUGUUGAGCGAGACAUCCACACGCUUGAACUGGCCUCUGUAGCUCAGUUGGCAGGGCCGCCGAGAGGGGGGAUUGCCCCGGCCCCCCACCUUAAUAGGGCCUCCAACUUGAGAUCGAGAGCCUGAAAUUGAGUAGGUCGGUGCAUUUUUGAAAUUGAGGGCCCCUUACAGUAGCUCCACAUGCAUGCAGUCUAGCUAAGGUCUAGUUGGGUAUUAUAACUUAGAAAUAAUGAUGUCAUGGGGCCCCCAGAGAAGAUUUGCACGGCCCCCGCGAAUUCUCUCGGCGGCUCUCUCAGUUGGUUAGAGCGCUGCACCUCAGAGACACAGGUUCGAUUCCCACCAGACUGCCAAAAGUUUUGCAACUGUUAGGUUUCAAAUUCGUACAUAGUUUCCGCGCGAAUUUAUGCACGAAAACAUUAAUAAGGUGUUUUGGUGUUUGUUUUUUAAACAAGACGUCAUAAUGCGUAUACGUGGGCUUUGGGUGACAUUAAGAAAAUUAGAAGAUUAACAUUUCUUUCACACAAUAAAGCAUGAAAAAGCCGCCCUUUGAAUUGACGAAAUUGAUUCGCCCCCAAUUAACCAAUUUUUUUAUUAAUCCGCUAUAUCUCUGGAAAAAUGUAAUGCUACCAUGUAGAUUUAUUUUUUUCACAAAUAUUGUAAGAAUUCUCAUGUGAAUUUGAAAUAAGAACAUUAUAUACGAUUUAAGUAAUAAAGUCCAUUUUUUGAUAAAUAUAGUUCUUGUGAGUGGGCCCUCUUCUGACGCGGCAUUUCAGAAUAAUUUGAAAAUAAUUAAUUUGUUUGUCUGGUACAUAUAAAAUAUUUAAAUAAUUUCCCAAACCGCUUUCGAUGACGCGUUUGUAUAUAGUUGAUUUUGUGCGGUUUGAUUAUAUUCUGAUAAGCCCCUGUAUAGGUCUUCUGGCAGGAAUGGAACCUGCAGCCCUGUGACUCCGGUGCAGUGCUCUAACCAACUGAGCUGCAUGCAGAGCCCAGCUAUCGACAAAGGCCUCGAAAGUGGGGAGGGGGGGGGGGCACUGACAAAAAAGGGCACUUUCCCAUAUAGUCGUUUUUAUUUAGUUUCAAGGUAAUCCCUGCCCUUGGUUUAUGCAUUGACUAUUACAAGAAAUAGGUAGAAUGGAGUGCAUAUAUUUAUUAUAUCAUAACGCUUAUCAAAAUUUCCCAAAAAACCUAAUUAGAUGUUUUUCUGAAUAAGAUAAAUCUGCGAUAUGUCUUGUGUAAUUAGCUAUAUAAAUGUCUAUUGAGAUCUUGUGUUUCAGACUCGUAUAGUAUACCAUAAGGCACAUUUCAUGAAGUCAAAAAGAGCACGUUCGCUUGAAAAAAGAGCACAUUUUGGUGUUUGCAAAAAAGUGGGAGGGGGCAGCAGUGCCCCCCCCCCCCCACCGGUUCCGUGGCCUUUGGUCAUCGAGCUCUAACUGCAAGCUCAUGUAUAUAUAUACUACUAGGGUGAUGCCAAUGUGUGGUGUAUGAGUAAAUGUCAUGCCGCUUUUGAGCAUCUUACUCGAUAGAACUAAAUAUUGAAAGGUUUUUGUAAGUACAAAUACGAAGGUGUAUAGUGAUUGAAAAAUGUUACAAUGACUGCUUAUGAGUCAGAGUGGGGGGGGGAAUUAAAAUUUGUCACGAACAUUGCCGAGCACUGCGGCCUGCUUUAAACAACCGCUGCUUUUUCUUAAUUGCAACAUUCAUUAUUUGACACUUUCUAUUUUAUGUUAAUUUGACAAAUUAUCACACAAUCAGCCGUGAUUGUCAUUCAUAUCAGAGACGGGGGCUGUAUAUAACAAAAUCUUUCAAAUGAACAUUCACCUUAUCUAUAUUUUGCAGAGAUUAUUCAGCGGGCGUCACUGCAAGAGACUUGGUUCAUUCUCUUACCGAAUUCUGAUUAUUGUUGUUCACCUGUCAAGAAAUGCGUGGACAAAGUUUUUUAUGUGAAGUUUAGGCUGGAAAAGUGUGAUGUUUUAAAAGC